AGUGAACGCUGGCGGUAGGCCUAACACAUGCAAGUCGAACGGCAGCACAGUAAGAGCUUGCUCUUACGGGUGGCGAGUGGCGGACGGGUGAGGAAUACAUCGGAAUCUACUUUUUCGUGGGGGAUAACGUAGGGAAACUUACGCUAAUACAGCAUACGUCCUACGGGUGAAAGCAGUGGAUCUUCGGACCUUGCGCGAUUGAAUUAGCCGAUGUCGGAUUAGCUAGUUGGCGGGGUAAAGGCCCACCAAGGCAACGAUCCGUAGCUGGUCUGAGAGGAUGAUCAGCAACACUGGAACUGAGAAACGGUCCAGACUCCUACGGGAGGCAGCAGUGGGGAAUAUUGGACAAUGGGCGAAAGCCUGAUCCAGCAAUACCGCGGGGGUGAAGAAGGCCUUCGGGUUGUAAAGCCCUUUUGUUGGGAAAGAAAAGCAGCAGGUUAAUACCCCGCUGUUCUGACGGUACCAAAAGAAUAAGCACCGGCUAACUUCGU
Molecule: ribosomal RNA, 491 nt
Filed under: uncultured bacterium
Lineage: Bacteria
Description: partial 16S ribosomal RNA
Rfam family: Bacterial small subunit ribosomal RNA
Source: RNAcentral